Molecule: ribosomal RNA, 253 nt
Filed under: uncultured bacterium
Lineage: Bacteria
Description: partial 16S ribosomal RNA
Rfam family: Bacterial small subunit ribosomal RNA
Source: RNAcentral
UACGAGUGCCCCAAGCGUUAUCCGGAAUCAUUGGGCGUAAAGGGUGUGUAGGUGGUUGUGUUAGUCUUCUGUCAAAAUUCCGGGCUCAACCCGGAACCUGCAGGGGAAACGGCACGACUCGAGGAUGCGAGAGGUGAAUGGAACUCAUGGAGUAGGGGUGAAAUCCGUUGAUAUCAUGGGGAACACCGAAAGCGAAGGCAAUUCACUGGCGCAAUCCUGACACUGAGACACGAAAGCGUGGGUAGCGAACGGG